AACGAACGCUGGCGGCAGGCCUAACACAUGCAAGUCGAGCGAGGACACCGGUUCUAGCGGCGGAUGGGUGUGUAACGCGACGGAAUGUGCCCUUCUCUACGGCCUAGCUCUGGGAAACUGGGAGUAAUACCGUAUACGCGCUAAUGGGGAAGGAUAUAUCGGAGAAGGAUGAGCCCGCGUUGCAUUAGGUAGUUGGUGGGGUAAUGGCUUACCAGGCGGAGGAUUCAUAGCUGGGUAGAGAGGAUGGUUAGCCACACUGAGAUUCGGACGCGGCCCGGACUCCUACGGGAGGCGGCAGUGGGGGAUCGAGGACAACGGGGGCAGCCCUGAUGUACCCAUGCCGGGUGAGUAAUGAUAGCAUUAGGGUAGUAAAGCUCUUUCAGCUGUGAAGAUAAUGACGGUACCUGCAGAAGAAGCCCCGGCUAACUCCGUG
RNAcentral lists this ribosomal RNA (433 nucleotides) under uncultured bacterium. RNAcentral describes it as "partial 16S ribosomal RNA". It matches the Rfam family "Bacterial small subunit ribosomal RNA", at positions 29 to 507 of the family's 1533-position model. The record is from RNAcentral.